This 253-nucleotide ribosomal RNA is filed under the name uncultured bacterium. RNAcentral's name for it is "partial 16S ribosomal RNA". It matches the Rfam family "Bacterial small subunit ribosomal RNA", at positions 524 to 776 of the family's 1533-position model. The record is from RNAcentral.
GACGAACCGAGCGAACGUUGUUCGGAAUCACUGGGCUUAAAGGGCGCGUAGGCGGGUGUUCAAGUCCGGGGUGAAAUCCUCCAGCUCAACUGGAGAACUGCCUCGGAUACUGGACGUCUCGAGGGUGGUAGGGGUAUGCGGAACUAUCGGUGGAGCGGUGAAAUGCGUUGAUAUCGAUAGGAACUCCGGUGGCGAAGGCGGCAUACUGGACCACAUCUGACGCUGAGGCGCGAAAGCCAGGGGAGCAAACGGG